Molecule: ribosomal RNA, 500 nt
Filed under: Glyphium elatum
Lineage: Eukaryota; Fungi; Ascomycota; Dothideomycetes; Patellariales
Description: SSU rRNA
Rfam family: Eukaryotic small subunit ribosomal RNA
Source: RNAcentral
UGUAGUCAUAUGCUUGUCUCAAAGACUAAGCCAUGCAUGUCUAAGUAUAAGCAAUCAUACUGUGAAACUGCGAAUGGCUCAUUAAAUCAGUUAUCGUUUAUUUGAUAGUACCUUUACCUGGAUAACCGUGGUAAUUCUAGAGCUAAUACAUGCUAAAAAUCCCGACUUCGGAAGGGAUGUAUUUAUUAGAUAAAAAACCAAUGCCCUUCGGGGCUCCUUGGUGAUUCAUAAUAACUUAACGAAUCGCAUGGCCUUGCGCCGGCGAUGGUUCAUUCAAAUUUCUGCCCUAUCAACUUUCGAUGGUAGGAUAGUGGCCUACCAUGGUCUCAACGGGUAACGGGGAAUUAGGGUUCUAUUCCGGAGAGGGAGCCUGAGAAACGGCUACCACAUCCAAGGAAGGCAGCAGGCGCGCAAAUUACCCAGUCCCAAUUCGGGGAGGUAGUGGCAAUAAAUACUGAUACAGGGCUCUUUUGGGUCUUGUAAUUGGAAUGAGUACAAUC